This 855-nucleotide ribosomal RNA is filed under the name uncultured bacterium. RNAcentral describes it as "bacterial SSU rRNA". It matches the Rfam family "Bacterial small subunit ribosomal RNA", at positions 94 to 954 of the family's 1533-position model. The record is from RNAcentral.
CACGGCGCACGGGUGCGUAACACGUGGGUAAUCUGCCCUCUGAUGGGGAAUAACUCGCCGAAAGGCGAGCUAAUUCCGCAUAAUAUUCCGGGUACUUAUGUUUCCGGACUGAAAGGCGUAAGUCGUCGGAGGAGGAGCCCGCGCACGAUUAGCUAGUUGGUAGGAUAAUGGCCUACCAAGGCUUUGAUCGUUAGCUGGUCUGAGAGGAUGGCCAGCCACACUGGAACUGAGACACGGUCCAGACUCCUACGGGAGGCAGCAGUGGGGAAUCUUGCACAAUGGGCGAAAGCCUGAUGCAGCGACGCCGCGUGGGGGAUGAAGCUUCUCGGAGUGUAAACCCCUUUCGAUCCGGACGAAUGCCCGCAAGGGAUUGACGGUACGGAUAUAAGAAGCCCCGGCUAACUACGUGCCAGCAGCCGCGGUAAUACGUAGGGGGCCAGCGUUGUUCGGAAUUACUGGGUGUAAAGGGUUCGUAGGCGGUGCGGCAAGUUGGGAGUGAAAUCUCUGGGCUCAACCCAGAGACGGCUUCCAAAACUGCUGUGCUUGAGUGUGGGAGAGGCUCGUGGAAUUGCAGGUGUAGCGGUGAAAUGCGUAGAUAUCUGCAGGAACACCCGUGGCGAAAGCGGCGAGCUGGACCACUACUGACGCUGAAGAACGAAAGCUAGGGGAGCAAACAGGAUUAGAUACCCUGGUAGUCCUAGCCCUAAACGAUCAGGACUUGGGGUGCCACCCGUUCGGGUGGCGUCCCGGAGCUAACGCGUUAAGUCCUGCACCUGGGGAGUACGGUCGCAAGACUGAAACUCAAAGGAAUUGACGGGGGCCCGCACAAGCGGUGGAACAUGUGGUUCAAUUCGA